Eriocheir sinensis (Chinese mitten crab) is the source of this 1999-nucleotide long non-coding RNA. RefSeq lists it as uncharacterized. The record is from RefSeq and is a predicted model, not a curated record. NCBI's taxonomy places the organism in Eukaryota, Metazoa, Arthropoda, Malacostraca, Decapoda, Varunidae. The transcript is spliced from 4 exons.
UUUAAUUGCCACACACCCCGCCCCCGCUCACCCCUAACAUGCAACCCACAGUGACCCAGACCGCCACACGGGCCCACACCGACCAUGAAAUUUGAACACGAGGCGGGCGAUCUCCUUGUAGUCCCUCACCUGCAAGCAAUAGUCACCUGGCGGCGGAUGCUCAAACGGCCGUAUCUCAACAUUUGGUCCUAAAUCCGCCAUUGUGGUCGCAAGUGCUGCCCCGUGCGAUGUUCAAAAAACGUCCUAGGCGCCAUCUUGUGACGUCAGGUCGCCCCUCAGCCUGACUGCUCGGGAGCGGGGCUAGAUCCGACCAGUUUCCGUCCUAGCCCGUCGCCAUUAAAGGAGUGUUUCCGCCUCAUCCACAUCUCCACCUCUAUACACAAUAUAAGAUGGAGCUUGUUGCGGCAUACAUUUUCAAUCGCAGACUGUGCAGGGAAAGGAGAUAUCGGGACCCACUCAACCCACUACAUGUCAGUGAUGAGCACCUGGUGCAGGUGUAUAGAUUUCCCCGUCAGGAAAUCAUCAGGCUCUGUGAUGAGUUGCGCCCCCACCUGGAAAGGAGAACCAGGAGGGCACAUGCACUCCCAACACACACCCAGGAGACACUGCGUAUCCUCUGGAGCCAUUCCUGAUGACCCCAGUUGCACGGCCGACAACACCUGGGGAGGAGCGCUACAACAAGUCAUCACAGGACAAGAUGCGUUGUCGAACGGACCUUUGGGAUCCUCAAGUCAAGGUGCAGGUGCCUACAUAAGUCAGGAGGAAGUUUGCAGUAUGACCCCAAGAAGACUAUGAAGAUUGCGACUUCUUGUAUGCUCCUGCACAACUACUGAGUGGAUCGCUGCAGAAGAAGUAACAGUUCAGCCUGUGAGAAACAACAGACUGAUUCCUGGUCAAGUUGUCAGGCAGGGAUUUAUUAGAAACUUCUUUUCCUGAGUAUAGAUUGCAUAUGGUGCACCGGUGGCCGAGUGGUCAGCGUGUGUACGUGGUGAUCCAGAGGACUCUACUCCCACCGCAAGACGCUGAGAGUUUUCAACCAUUGACAAGUGGCGGAGGGUUACCAACAUGCUGCCCGGCAGAUCUUCAGUCAACCCUAACUUCAGCGUCUUUGAUCAAGAGGGGCACCACCUCCACACCACUCAUUCUUAUCACCUAGUUUGAUACCCUACUUGUCCAUCUCACAUGGCCCAUGUAUCUCAGCAUUCUGCACUCUUGGCUCCAUGUCAUCCUCUCCAACUUGUUGGUUCGUAUAGCAUAACCGGCCUCACAUACAUAGAAGUGUUCAAUAUACCUAGGCUAUAAUAUUAUAUUUAAGGACUCUUAUACGAGGUAUCGCCCCAGACAGAGGUGUCGAAGUAAGUCUGUCUGAUGGUAGGCUGGCUGACUGCUGUUGGGACCCAAGCCAGCAUGCCCUGGGGGUUGUGUGCGGGAGGAGGAAAGAGGGAAAAGGACAAAUGGUGUGUGUGUCAUUAUCAGGGGUAACCACGGUGGAGUGCAAACACUCGGUAGUUGUAGUCAAGGCUUAAUUAAGUUGAUGAGUGGUGUUAGACUGAAUGAGCAGGUUUUUUACCACAUGUUAGUGGGAACACUUGAUAGGUUUUGUUUGUGUGUUGGUGCUACUUGUUUCUUGUGUUUACAUGUUAGUUUAUAAUUAGACUGAGUUCUAAGUGUUAUGAGCGACAAUUUAGUCUUGUAUGGCUGAAUCCUGUCCCUUGACCCUUAAUUCAUCAUCAGAAUCUUUAAACAAAUAUAUUUACCUUAAGUAAUAUUCUUAAAGUCACGCUGCCCAUAUUAUUUGGCAGAUGAUAACCCUGUAUGCGAUAACGGUGCCUUAUAAGACUUCGUAAAUAAACUACUAAUUUUACUCUCUGGUUUAAGUGAUCAACAAUUAAUUCUACUUUGAGGUAUAAUUAACCAACAUUAUUAAGGAGUGCCCAUGCCAGGCACGACAUUAAGAAUAUUUUUCUGUUGACCAGCAGACUUACUAUAGUCAAACCAU